Molecule: ribosomal RNA, 253 nt
Filed under: uncultured bacterium
Lineage: Bacteria
Description: partial 16S ribosomal RNA
Rfam family: Bacterial small subunit ribosomal RNA
Source: RNAcentral
UACGUAGGGUGCAAGCGUUAAUCGGAAUUACUGGGCGUAAAGCGUGCGCAGGCGGGCUUGCAAGUGAGAUGUGAAAUCCCCGGGCUUAACCUGGGAACUGCAUUUGUGACUGGGAGUCUGGAGUACUGUAGAGGGGGAUGGAAUUCCGCGUGUAGCAGUGAAAUGCGUAGAGAUGUGGAGGAAUACCGAUGGCGAAGGCAAUCCCCUGGGAAUGUACUGACGCUCAUGUGCGAAAGCGUGGGGAGCAAACAGG